This 555-nucleotide ribosomal RNA is filed under the name uncultured fungus. RNAcentral describes it as "eukaryotic LSU rRNA". The stretch from base 194 to 347 matches the Rfam family "5.8S ribosomal RNA". The record is from RNAcentral. Lineage: Eukaryota; Fungi.
AGUCGUAACAAGGUCUCCGUUGGUGAACCAGCGGAGGGAUCAUUACCGAGUUUACAACUCCCAAACCCCUGUGAACAUACCACUUGUUGCCUCGGCGGAUCAGCCCGCUCCCGGUAAAACGGGACGGCCCGCCAGAGGACCCCUAAACUCUGUUUCUAUAUGUAACUUCUGAGUAAAACCAUAAAUAAAUCAAAACUUUCAACAACGGAUCUCUUGGUUCUGGCAUCGAUGAAGAACGCAGCAAAAUGCGAUAAGUAAUGUGAAUUGCAGAAUUCAGUGAAUCAUCGAAUCUUUGAACGCACAUUGCGCCCGCCAGUAUUCUGGCGGGCAUGCCUGUUCGAGCGUCAUUUCAACCCUCAAGCACAGCUUGGUGUUGGGACUCGCGUUAAUUCGCGUUCCCCAAAUUGAUUGGCAGUCACGUCGAGCUUCCAUAGCGUAGUAGUAAAACCCUCGUUACUGGUAAUCGUCGCGGCCACGCCGUUAAACCCCAACUUCUGAAUGUUGACCUCGGAUCAGGUAGGAAUACCCGCUGAACUUAAGCAUAUCAAUAAGUCG